CAGUAGCCACGGUAAUACCAGCAGCCCAAGUGGUGGUCGCGAUUGUUGGGCCUAAAGCGCUCGUAGCCGGGCCGGUAAGUCCCUUGUGAAAUCGGACGGCCUAACCGUUCGGCGUGCAAGGGAUACUGUCGGUCUUGAGGCCGGGAGACGUCCGAGGUACUCCGGGGGUAGCGGUGAAAUGUUCUGAUCCUCGGGGGACCACCGGUGGCGAAGGCGUUCGACGAGAACGGGCCUGACGGUGAGGGGCGAAGGCUAGGGGAGCAAACGGGAUUAGAUACCCCGGUAGUCCCUGUCUCUUAUA
This 301-nucleotide ribosomal RNA is filed under the name uncultured bacterium. RNAcentral's name for it is "partial 16S ribosomal RNA". It matches the Rfam family "Archaeal small subunit ribosomal RNA", at positions 459 to 759 of the family's 1478-position model. The record is from RNAcentral.